AAUGCCCUGUGAAACCCAGCAACCUAAACAAUAAUUCAUUAUGUGUUUAAGGUGCUAAGUCAUGCAGAACAACUAAUUGUUCUGAAAGAUGAGAAGGAAGUUAGUCCAUUUGAAAAAAUGCUGCCUUUCUGCUCAUCAGCAGAAAGGCUUUUUUGUA
RNAcentral lists this small RNA (157 nucleotides) under Listeria monocytogenes serotype 4b str. LL195. RNAcentral's name for it is "PyrR binding site". The stretch from base 1 to 95 matches the Rfam family "SAM riboswitch aptamer (S box leader)", at positions 25 to 108 of the family's 108-position model. Rfam says of the family: The SAM riboswitch is found upstream of a number of genes which code for proteins involved in methionine or cysteine biosynthesis in Gram-positive bacteria. The record is from RNAcentral. Lineage: Bacteria; Bacillati; Bacillota; Bacilli; Caryophanales; Listeriaceae.